This 498-nucleotide ribosomal RNA is filed under the name uncultured bacterium. Its description in RNAcentral is "partial 16S ribosomal RNA". It matches the Rfam family "Bacterial small subunit ribosomal RNA", at positions 28 to 507 of the family's 1533-position model. The record is from RNAcentral.
GAUGAACGCUGGCGGCGUGCCUAAUACAUGCAAGUCGAGCGAAGAGACGAGGAGCUUGCUCCUCUGACGUUAGCGGCGGACGGGUGAGUAACACGUGGAUAACCUACCUAUAAGACUGGGAUAACUUCGGGAAACCGGAGCUAAUACCGGAUAAUAUAUUGAACCGCAUGGUUCAAUAGUGAAAGACGGUUUUGCUGUCACUUAUAGAUGGAUCGGCGCCGCAUUAGUUAGUUGGUAAGGUAAAGGCCUACCAAGGCGAAGUAGCGUAUCCGACCUGCGAGGGUGAACGGCCCACAUGGGACCUAAACACGGCCCAAACCCCUACGGGGGGCAGCAGUAGGGAAUCUUCGGCAAGGGGCGAAAGUCCGACCGAGCAACCCCGCGUGAGUGAAGAAGGUUUUCGGAUCGUAAAAAUCGGUUUAUAGGGAAGAACGAUGGUGGGAGUGAAAAGCGCAUCAAUUGACGGUACCUAACCAGAAAGCGACGGCUAACUACGUG